GUGUGGAAAGAUGUUGAUGGUGUUCUGACUUGUGACCCUAAUAUACAUUCAGGUGCAGAACCUGUUCCCUUUCUGACUUUCGACGAGGCUGCUGAACUUGCUUAUUUUGGAGCUCAGGUCCUGCAUCCACAAUCGAUGCGACCAGCUAGGGAGGGUGAUAUUCCCGUUCGGGUGAAAAAUUCGUAUAAUCCUCAAGCUCCAGGUACUCUCAUCACCCGGAACAGAGAUAUGAGCAAG
This 237-nucleotide unclassified non-coding RNA is filed under the name Hevea brasiliensis (rubber tree). The record is from RNAcentral. Lineage: Eukaryota; Viridiplantae; Streptophyta; Magnoliopsida; Malpighiales; Euphorbiaceae.